CAGCAGCCGCGGGAAUACGGAGGGUGCAAGCGUUAUCCGGAUUUAUUGGGUUUAAAGGGUCCGUAGGCGGAUCUGUAAGUCAGUGGUGAAAUCUCACAGCUUAACUGUGAAACUGCCAUUGAUACUGCAGGUCUUGAGUAAAUUUGAAGUGGCUGGAAUAAGUAGUGUAGCGGUGAAAUGCAUAGAUAUUACUUAGAACACCAAUUGCGAAGGCAGGUCACUAAGAUUUAACUGACGCUGAUGGACGAAAGCGUGGGGAGCGAACAGGAUUAGAUACCCGCGUAGUCCCUGUCUCUUAUAA
Molecule: ribosomal RNA, 301 nt
Filed under: uncultured bacterium
Lineage: Bacteria
Description: partial 16S ribosomal RNA
Rfam family: Bacterial small subunit ribosomal RNA
Source: RNAcentral